AACGAACGCUGGCGGCAGGCCUAACACAUGCAAGUCGAACGAGUAAGAGCCGUAGCAAUACGGAGUUCUGCUAGUGGCGCACGGGUGAGUAACGCGUGGGAACGUGCCUUGGAGUUCGGGAUAACAGUUGGAAACGACUGCUAAUACCGAAUAUUCCCUCAGGGGGAAAGAUUUAUCGCUCCAAGAUCGGCCCGCGUAAGAUUAGGUAGUUGGUGGGGUAAUGGCCUACCAAGCCUACGAUCUUUAGCUGGUCUGAGAGGUCGACCAGCCACACUGGAACUGAGACACGGUCCAGACUCCUACGGGAGGCAGCAGUGGGGAAUAUUGGACAAUGGGCGAAAGCCUGAUCCAGCCAUGCCGCGUGAAUGAUGAAGGCCUUAGGUUGUAAAAUCUUUUGCAGGGGAAGAUAAUGACGGUACCCUGCGAAUAAGCUCGGCUAACUUCGUGCCAGCAGCCGC
Molecule: ribosomal RNA, 458 nt
Filed under: uncultured bacterium
Lineage: Bacteria
Description: bacterial SSU rRNA
Rfam family: Bacterial small subunit ribosomal RNA
Source: RNAcentral